GUGGGAUCUUGUCUACAGUUUGUUGCCUGUGUGCACACCAGUAGCGUCACGGUUCGUUUGUGCUUUAUUGUUUUGUUCAGUGAGUUUCGGUUAAUAAAAAUAUGUGGAACUCUAUGCACGCUGCUGCGCCUUGGUCCAAUCAUUAUAACGAUCGUGACAGACACCCUCCUCAAGGACAAUCAGCCAGAGGGGAAGAGCCUCACACUGCAGGAGAGAAACAGCAGCACCAUCGCUGACCAGACCAGAUGAGCCAGACAGACACAUAACACAGGUGAGAAGAACAGACAGUGCAGGUGCAGCAUGUCCACUCAGGGCUAUGUUGGAUGGAUUCUAGGAGGUUGGCCGAGGGGAAAGAAGGACAUCUGGAAGUGUCAUCCAGGGAUCCUGUAAAUAAUGUACCCCUGCGUCAACAGCCAGGCUGGAGAGUUCCACUGGGAAUAGGUUCCCUCACAUCAGUGGUUUCCAAACCCUUUUGUGUCGUGACAUCUUCCUGUCACUGCCAACAGCUCUAUCCAAAACCCGGCAUAAAUAACUGACCCACUA
Long non-coding RNA from Oncorhynchus kisutch (coho salmon), 543 nucleotides. RefSeq lists it as uncharacterized. The transcript has 3 exons. The record is from RefSeq and is a predicted model, not a curated record. Lineage: Eukaryota; Metazoa; Chordata; Actinopteri; Salmoniformes; Salmonidae.